Molecule: long non-coding RNA, 1645 nt
Filed under: Fukomys damarensis (Damara mole-rat)
Lineage: Eukaryota; Metazoa; Chordata; Mammalia; Rodentia; Bathyergidae
Description: lncRNA (ENSFDAG00000021868.1)
Source: RNAcentral
GCUCUUGCUUGUUCUGCAUUUUCUUUGUAAAUGCUGUAACUACGAUACUGACUAUUGCCUAUGGAAUAAAAGAGAGUAACCUAGACAAUGUAUUCCAGGUAAAUUUAGUACAAGUAAGGGAGGAGAGAAGGACUAAGGAUAGGUGAAAGGAGACAAGGAAAUUCGAUUGUUUUGUCUCCCUUACUGCCAGACCCCUACUCGGCCCUGCACCAGGCACACUAAUCACUCAUGGUGUAUUGCUGCAGUGUUCAUCAGCCCCAAAUAUUCCUAGUCUCUCUUGUCUUGCUUCAAGACUGAGAACAUCAAGAUAAGAGUAACUGAAGUCAUGUUCAGAGAUUCUCAAUUGCAAGUUUUUACCAAGUCCAGUUCCAGGCAGCCACACUCCCCCAUCAAUGCUGAAAAGUCUUCUGACCUGUAUUAAUCUCGAAUCUCAGGAAAAGCAGAGCCUUUCAGACUACCCUGUGAUGAAAUCCACCUCUAUCCAAAGUAGAGUAAUUACCCAGGAUGAGAACUCAGUCAGCCCCUCCUGAACGAGAGGAGAUUCCGCUGGUGAAUAUGGAACUGGCCCCUCAAGCCUUGCAGAUGUUUCUAGAAUAUGGAAGCUGACCUGAGACCUGACUUGAGCAACCAAAUGGAAAGUUUUCCUGGUACCAGGAGGCCCAAUCACAAAUGGUUAAUCAGCAAGUCCUUCAGAGAAGAAGAAACUGUAUUCAGAGACAAGAGGGGAAAUAUCAGAAUUGAAAAGGAGUCAGCUGUCAACCCUCCCGAAAAUUUAACAGGGCCAUGCGGUUAUAGAGAAAGAGUUCUUCUGCAUGACUGCCUAAAAGCAAGAGCCCUUCCACUCAGGGUAGCUGUUCGGUAUCUCCAGCUUCAGCCCUGUCUUGUGGUUGGCUCCACAGUCUUUAACUGUGCUUUUUCCGACUGCAGCAUGUGGCUUUUACUGCUUCCCUGCAAAUAAGACCUAACUAUAAAAUAAUCAGCCUUGAAUUCUAGAGCCUAAAAGUGCCAGCCCCACUCAGCCUAUCCUCCCUUCACCUGCCCCCAUUUUCUCCUGCUCGGCUAUUCAGUAAGAAAAGAGUCCAGAAUGUCUUACAUCACGAUGUGAUUUCACAAUAUGAAGUCUAUUCUACAUUUCAGCUUGUAUGUUUGUCUUUUUAAAAUGAAUGUCUGCACUUGAUUUUGAAAUGAAUACUCGCUCAUUCUAUUCUCCAAACUUUGAGAUACACAGCUGAAGCUGAAUAGCACACUUUGGCUGGACACCAAACAGUCCAAACUUCCACUCAAUUCUAGUUUGUAUGGAUUGUGAGACUCUUGUGAAACACGCUUAAUGUGGGGAAUGAAAAUGAAACCAUUAUGUUAGACAUGGUACCUGUUGAAAGAAAUUCACUGCUAUUAAUCAAAUUCAUAUGUAUAUGAAUUUUAAAUUAAUUCUGUGGGAGUUUAAUAAGUUUUAUUUCACUUAGAGUUAGGCAUUUUAUCUUUAACACUAUAUAGAUCUUCAUUGUAAUUAGUAACUGUUAAGACAGAAGCCUAGUUUAUUUGCCCUUUGUAGUGGUUCAAUAAAAUCUUUUAGACAUUUAGCCAGGAAGGGAGGCAGGCAUCUGUAGGUAGACACUUUUAUAAUGGGAAGAAAGGUGCUGCCCCU